This 24-nucleotide non-coding RNA is filed under the name Rattus norvegicus (Norway rat). The record is from RNAcentral. Lineage: Eukaryota; Metazoa; Chordata; Mammalia; Rodentia; Muridae.
UUACAUGUACUAGAUAGCCUUCUU